RNAcentral lists this transfer RNA (73 nucleotides) under Stegodyphus mimosarum. It matches the Rfam family "tRNA". From Rfam's summary of the family: Transfer RNA (tRNA) molecules are approximately 80 nucleotides in length. Lineage: Eukaryota; Metazoa; Arthropoda; Arachnida; Araneae; Eresidae. The record is from Rfam by way of RNAcentral.
GCUCCUGUUGCUUAAUGGAUAAGGCACUGGCCUCCGGAGUCAAAGAUUGUGGAUUAGGUUGCCAUCAAGGGUG